GACGAACGCUGGCGGCGCGCCUAACACAUGCAAGUCGAACGGAGCUGAGAGAAGCUUGCUUUUCUUAGCUUAGUGGCGAACGGGUGAGUAACGCGUGAGUAACCUGCCCUGGAGUGGGGGACAAUAGUUGGAAACGACUGCUAAUACCGCAUAAGCCCACGAUCCGGCAUCGGAUUGAGGGAAAAGGAUUUAUUCGCUUCAGGAUGGACUCGCGUCCAAUUAGCUAGUUGGUGAGGUAACGGCCCACCAAGGCGACGAUUGGUAGCCGGACUGAGAGGUUGAACGGCCACAUUGGGACUGAGACACGGCCCAGACUCCUACGGGAGGCAGCAGUGGGGGAUAUUGCACAAUGGGGGAAACCCUGAUGCAGCGACGCCGCGUGGAGGAAGAAGGUUUUCGGAUUGUAAACUCCUGUCGUUAGGGACGAUAAUGACGGUACCUAACAAGAAAGCACCGGCUAACUACGUG
This 468-nucleotide ribosomal RNA is filed under the name uncultured bacterium. Its description in RNAcentral is "partial 16S ribosomal RNA". It matches the Rfam family "Bacterial small subunit ribosomal RNA", at positions 28 to 507 of the family's 1533-position model. The record is from RNAcentral.